GAACAGAUUACAAGAGCAAGGUUCUAUUUCAACCUGGCAGAGGAGGGAGCUUCUCAGCUUGACAAGGCUAGCCGUUGGCCGGUAUGGUCAUCACUAUUGAUUUAUCGUAACAUCUUGGAUGCGAUCGAGGAUAACGAUUACGAUAACUUGACAAAGAGAGCAUAUGUAAGGAGAGCUAAGAAACUUCUCAUGUUGCCUCUGGCAUACUCAAGAUCUCUGUCAACACGUAGCUAGCUCUCUCAGCAGCACAAGAACGUAACAAGUACAAAAUCGUUUUGAUAAAGAAAUAUGUUUUGCGUGUAACAGAGCUCUGUGUAAAUUCUGUACAUGUUUACUGUUUAAAGAUGUUAACACAUUCCUUAUUAAUGUUAGCACAUCUAUCUCA
Prunus avium (sweet cherry) is the source of this 385-nucleotide non-coding RNA. Lineage: Eukaryota; Viridiplantae; Streptophyta; Magnoliopsida; Rosales; Rosaceae. The record is from RefSeq and is a predicted model, not a curated record.